UAAAUGAUAUUUACAAUGAUAUUUUGUUACAUUUUCCAAAAAACAUUAACCUCAAGAAAACAAUGUCCUAGGAUUAUUGUACUUUAAAGCAGUUUCAUUGGUUACCCUGCAACAUCUGUCUUAAAGUUUCAAACUAGGUCGGUUUCGUAGUGACUUUAUAAAGCGAACUAAUAUCGUUUCAAUCCUUUGAAACGAACAAAAAUCGACUAUAAAAAUUACGAAUACGUUUAUAAAGCGCUUAAUUAGUGAAAAUCAACUUGAAAUUAUCUUUACCUAAUUAAUUCUCUAAUGACGAAAAAAUUUUAUCUGUGAAUUUAUCAUUGAUAAAAAAUUUUAUUAAUAAAACAGUAAAAAAGUUUUCAGAAAAGUUUUAUUAUAAUUUUUGGAUAGAUGAAGAAAUUAUUUAAUAAAAAAAUAAUCACUCUUUUCAACUUUAAAAAUGUAUAAAAUUGUGUUUAUAACCUAUAAUUUGCUCAACUCAUGAAUUCUUUAAUAUUAUUAGUUAGUAAAUUACCACGCAAGAUGGCACCAGUAUUCUAAUACUUAUAAUAUAUAUUAUACUACCCCACGAAAUUAAAUAACUAUAUUCAAACGAUUCUAAAAUCGAUUAUCUAAACGAUUUUUUUGAAACAAGACAACCAUGAAACAUAAUCGAUCUAUUAUUGUUGAAAUAAUUUCGAAACAAGAUAUAUUUUGUUCUAAGUCUCAUCUCUGCACAAUUCAAUUUCGAUAUUCUUUGAGACCGAGGAUAUAAAUGAUCCAUAAUCAUGAUAACGAUAACAUUGGAAUAUGGAGAUGAAAUAAAGAUGUGAAAUCGAAUGCGAUAAAUGGACGACCGAGGUCAUGAGGAAAGAAUUAUACAAGAUUAAAAGAUUAAAUCGAUGAAGGAUUAAAUCCCAACAUGAAUUUUGCCCCGUACUAAUGAGUGUCUUAAAGAUACCGGAAGUCGAGAACUAGAAAAGGAACCUACGAGUUUCGCGAGAAGCUUUAACGAGGUAAACGUACAAACACCCCGGGUGACGAAUUCAUUUCUACAUUUGCAUGAGUAAGAGAUAUUGAAAAAAGAUGGAUUAUACUAAAGAUCUACACUUGAAGAAUAAUAAUUUCAAAGAAUAAAGAAUCAUGACCAUGAUAGACUUCCUGCUUCCUGUUUCGAUUCACUCUUCAUGAAUGUAUCAUGUCAUUCGAUUCAUUAAAAUCCUGAGCAUGAAUCGUGGGAUAUUUUGAAAGUAAGUGUGAAAUAUUUGUAACAAAUAAUUCGUCCAUUGAAUAUUAAUGUAAUAACCAUAAUAUUUAUAUGAUUUCAAAUAUUUUAUUUAAUUUAAUUCUCAAUUCUAUCCAAAUUUCUCUAAGAUAAUCUUAUUCAAAUUAUUGUUAUUUUA
Long non-coding RNA from Apis mellifera (honey bee), 1382 nucleotides. RefSeq lists it as uncharacterized. The transcript has 3 exons. NCBI's taxonomy places the organism in Eukaryota, Metazoa, Arthropoda, Insecta, Hymenoptera, Apidae. The record is from RefSeq and is a predicted model, not a curated record.